This is a long non-coding RNA of Ictalurus furcatus (blue catfish), 472 nucleotides long. RefSeq lists it as uncharacterized. The transcript has 3 exons. The record is from RefSeq and is a predicted model, not a curated record. NCBI's taxonomy places the organism in Eukaryota, Metazoa, Chordata, Actinopteri, Siluriformes, Ictaluridae.
UGCUUAGGGUCAUUGACUUGCUGCAUGACCCACUUUCUCUUGAGAUUCAGUUCAUGGACAAAUGUCCUGACAUUAUCAUUUAGAAUUUAGAAUUCGCUGAUAUAAUUCAGAAUUCAUUGUUCCAUUAAUGAUGUUAAGAUUCCUGGCCCAGAUGUAGGAAAACAGGCCCAAACCAUGAUACUACCACCACCAUGUUUCAUAGAUGGGAUAAGAACUGCCGAACAAGAGACCAUCCCUGAGGAAUUGCGAGCAACACAGGAGUAUGGCCCCUCGUUCUCAGCAUAGACUCUGACAAUCUCCAGCUGGCAGCUGUCAUCAUAGUGGGACAUUCUGAGACAAAUGCCUUACCCUCUCCAGAGACAUGGCACUGGAAUCUUGCAGACUCUCCCUCUUCAACAGAUACAUCAUGUAUAGGAGAUAUUAUCACAGGUGGAGACGGUGGAACUCCAACAUCUGGAGAAACCACUUCAGA